GUAGGUGGCAAGCGUUGUCCGGAAUUAUUGGGGCGUAAAGCGCGCGCAGGCGGUUCUUUAAGUCUGAUGUGAAAGCCCACGGGCUCAACCGUGGAGGGUCAUUGGAAACUGGAGAACUUGAGUACAGAAGAGGAAAGCGGAAUUCCACGUGUAGCGGUGAAAUGCGUAGAGAUGUGGAGGAACACCAGUGGCGAAGGCGGCUUUCUGGUCUGUAACUGACGCUGAGGCGCGAAAGCGUGGGGAGCAAACAGGAUUAGAUACCCUGGUAGUCCACGCCGUAAACGAUGAGUGCUAAGUGUUAGGGGGUUUCCGCCCCUUAGUGCUGCAGCUAACGCAUUAAGCACUCCGCCUGGGGAGUACGGCCGCAGGGCUG
This 373-nucleotide ribosomal RNA is filed under the name uncultured organism. RNAcentral describes it as "partial 16S ribosomal RNA". It matches the Rfam family "Bacterial small subunit ribosomal RNA", at positions 527 to 896 of the family's 1533-position model. The record is from RNAcentral.